CGACCACAUCAUGUUAAAACACAAGUUGUCAUACGAUCUCCGAAGUUAAGCAACAUCAAGCCUGGUCAGUAUCUAGAUGGGUGACCGCCUGGGAAUACCAGGUGCUGUAA
This is a non-coding RNA of Acanthosepion pharaonis, 110 nucleotides long. Lineage: Eukaryota; Metazoa; Mollusca; Cephalopoda; Sepiida; Sepiidae. The record is from the annotation of a GenBank genome assembly.